AUGUUCAAUUUUGUUGAGCCGCUGUCCUAUUUUAUUGGAAAAUAUUCACCUUUAACAAUAAAUGAUUUUUUUGUUUUUUCAAACCAAAAUAAUAAAAAAACUGACUGGCAACUAGUAGCACAUAUUCAAAGUGGGCUCUUUUUUUCUGAGGCCAUCCUCAGCCCAUCCACACUCUGCCGGCGGUCUGCAUCGUAUCUGUACUUUCUCUCCGCCGGCUGUUGUGAGUGGAGACGACGUCUCCCCUCCGUGGCCGGCCACCACCACCCCCCCUCCAAGGCCGGGGCCGAGCCGCCUUGUGCUGCGGCUGCUGGCGGCCGGCGGUGCAGCGGUUCUCGCGAGCUCAGCACCACCGCUCGCCGGUCGGCCGGCCUCCCGUGA
RNAcentral lists this ribosomal RNA (378 nucleotides) under Triticum aestivum (bread wheat). RNAcentral describes it as "partial small subunit ribosomal RNA". The record is from RNAcentral. Lineage: Eukaryota; Viridiplantae; Streptophyta; Magnoliopsida; Poales; Poaceae.